AAGGCAUACGGCUCAGUAACGCGUAGUCAACCUAACCUAUGGACGGGAAUAACCUCGGGAAACUGAGAAUAAUGCCCGAUAGAACAUUAUGCCUGGAAUGGUUUAUGUUCCAAAUGAUUUAUCGCCGUAGGAUGGGACUGCGGCCUAUCAGUUUGUUGGUGAGGUAAUGGCCCACCAAGACUAUUACAGGUACGGGCUCUGAGAGGAGUAGCCCGGAGAUGGGUACUGAGACACGGACCCAGGCCCUAUGGGGCGCAGCACGCGAGAAAACUUUGCAAUGUGCGAAAGCACGACAAGGUUAAUCCGAGUGGUUUCUGCUAAAGAAACCUUUUGUCAGUCCUAGAAACACUGAUGAAUAAGGGGUGGGCAAGUUCUGGUGU
RNAcentral lists this ribosomal RNA (380 nucleotides) under uncultured archaeon. RNAcentral's name for it is "bacterial SSU rRNA". It matches the Rfam family "Archaeal small subunit ribosomal RNA", at positions 78 to 458 of the family's 1478-position model. The record is from RNAcentral.